Molecule: ribosomal RNA, 447 nt
Filed under: uncultured bacterium
Lineage: Bacteria
Description: bacterial SSU rRNA
Rfam family: Bacterial small subunit ribosomal RNA
Source: RNAcentral
UGGGGAAUAUUGGACAAUGGGCGAAAGCCUGAUCCAGCCAUGCCGCGUGAGUGACGAAGGCCUUAGGGUUGUAAAACUCUUUCGUCGGGGACGAUAAUGACGGUACCCGCAGAAGAAGCCCCGGCUAACUCCGUGCCAGCAGCCGCGGUAAUACGGAGGGUGCAAGCGUUGUUCGGAAUUACUGGGCGUAAGGCGCGUGUAGGUGGUCGAGUAAGUCGAAUGUGAAAGCCCCGGGCUCAACCCGGGAAGUGCAUCCGAAACUGCUCGACUAGAGUCCCGGAGAGGAAGGCAGAAUUCCCAAUGUAGGGGUGAAAUCCGUAGAUAUUGGGAGGAAUACCGGUGGCGAAGGCGGCCUUCUGGACGGUGACUGACACUCAGACGCGAAAGCGUGGGGAGCAAACAGGAUUAGAUACCCGUGUAGUCCCUGAGCGGGCUGGCAAGGCGCAU